UUUACCUCUCACGAUUCCCUACCCACUCUCCACCUUCACAAAAACUCUUCACUCACCAACUGCUGACUCAUUCACUCACGAAAAGAAAAAAGAAAAAAAAGAAAAGAGAAAGCGAAAAGGGUGAGAAACCUUUCUUCUCCGCUUUACCCUUUCCGUUCACCCUUCACCGUGCCUCACCCACCAAUAAACUUCGGCGACCACCACCAUUUCUUCCCUUCCAAACACAUCACAACUUCAAC
RNAcentral lists this long non-coding RNA (239 nucleotides) under Lathyrus oleraceus (garden pea). RNAcentral describes it as "Pisum sativum (pea) long non-coding RNA (PSAT_LNC026789)". The record is from RNAcentral. Lineage: Eukaryota; Viridiplantae; Streptophyta; Magnoliopsida; Fabales; Fabaceae.